Molecule: long non-coding RNA, 8160 nt
Filed under: Citrus sinensis (sweet orange)
Lineage: Eukaryota; Viridiplantae; Streptophyta; Magnoliopsida; Sapindales; Rutaceae
Description: long non-coding RNA (CSIN_LNC001686)
Source: RNAcentral
CGAGAUCUAAAUCUAAAUAGUAGAAACCAAUGGAUGCACUUUCGCUCUUGUUAAUCUGUUGCAAGUUACUGCUUAUCUUUUCUGAAUUCUCAUUUGCAUCAGAUGUCCUUACUUCGUCUCAGUCUCUUAGUGAUGGAAACACCUUAAUAUCAAAAGGUGGAAGCUUUGAGCUUGGUUUCUUCAGUCCCGGUAGUUCCAAGAAUCGUUAUGUGGGAAUUUUGUACAAAAGUAUACCAGUUAAAACAGUUGUUUGGGUUGCAAACCGCCUCAAACCCAUCAAGGACUCUUCUGGCUUGUUAAUGAUAAACAGGACAGGCAAUCCUGUUUUAACAAGCCCGAGCAUGGGCAUAGUUUGGUCAGCGAGCUUGAGCAAAGAGGUGAGUUCUCCUCUGGUAUUACAGCUACUGGAUUCAGGAAAUCUUAUCCUCAGAGGUGAACAAGAUGGUGAUUCUGAAAAUUAUUUUUGGCAAAGCUUUGAUUAUCCUUCUGAUACAUUGCUACCAGGAAUGAAGGUCGGAUGGGAUUUAAAGACAGGUCUUGAGCGGCGCUUGACAUCAUGGAAGAGCUCAAAUGACCCGUCUCCUGGAGACCUUAUUUUGAAAAUUGAACGACAAGGAUAUCCCUAUCUAGUGAUGUGGAAGGGAUCAACAAAGUUCUAUAGGACCGGCCCAUGGAAUGGCGUUACAUUCAGUGCUUCAUCACUAAAGCCUAACUCAAUCUUUAACGUCAGCUUUGUAUUUAAUGAGGAUGAGCUCUACUACACAUUCAACCUCAUAGAUAAAGCUGUUUUCUCAAGGACUGUUGUGAACCAAACACUCUCUUUACGUCAACGAUUCGUGUGGAGUAAAGCAACUCAAAGUUGGGAGCUGUAUUCAAAUUUGCCAAGAGAUCAGUGUGACACCUACAAUCUCUGUGGUGCCUACGGCAUUUGCAGCAUUAGCAAAUCGCCUAUUUGCCAAUGUUUAAUAGGUUUCAAACCUAAAUCAGAGGGUUAUGUGGAACGGUCUCAAGGGUGCGUACGUACUAAGCCGUUAAACUACUCUCGACGUGAUGGUUUUGUCAAAUUUAAUGAUCUGAAAUUGCCAGAUUCUACUUCCUCUUGGGUUAGCAAAAGUAUGAAUCUCAAUGAAUGCCGGGAGAAAUGCUUAGACAACUCUUCUUGUAUGGCAUACACAAAUUCAGAUAUCAGAGGAGAAGGCAGUGGCUGUGCCAUGUGGUUUGGUGAUCUGAUUGACAUCAGAUACUUCCAAGAUGGUGGGCAGGACUUGUAUAUUCGAAUGUCUGCUUCAGAGCUAGGUAUCCGUAUACUUCUUUAUGUCAUUCCAUUAUGAGAACUUAGGAGUACCACUCCAGUUAGACUAGUUCCACAUUUUUAUUGUGCAAUUUAGUAUUGAGUUCUGAUUGAGAAGCUCCUUUCGCAUAAAGCAGUUUCUGGGUAUAGCUUCUAUGCAUGGAAUUUUCCUGCUAUUUGAAUCCUUUUUUCUUAGCUAUAUGAUUAUUGACUUGCUUUGCUAUAUCUGAAUACGCUGAUCAAGAAGCGAAAGGUGAGCCUACGACAAAGAUAGUGGUGAUAGUCAUUUCUAGUGCUGCUCUGCUAGCAGUGCUGCUUAUAGCUGGCUACUUGAUUCGCAAACGCAGGAGAAAUAUAGCAGGUAUAAUAGCACUCCAUUUUCCUUCACAAAUUUAUAGCCAUUUGCUUGCAUUUUUAUGAUAGCCGUUUCCUUUCAAUCAAUAUUUAUAUGAGUCCAAUUUUUCUGUAUCAAAUCUUCAAUAAAAUCUUUCACCAAGUAGAAUAAGUUUUUAUAUGCAGCAAUAACUGUACGUUUGUUUCAAGAUGAAGAGUUAACAUUGCAUAUCAUUUAGAUCAGGGGCAAGGUAAUUAAACUUGUAAAUUUUUGGUUGGAAUAGCAGUUUUACAUACUUGCAUUUAGUGUUAUAUUAAUACACGCUUCUUUUUCACCUAUGGUUCUCUAUUUACUUGCACUUUCAUAUUGACUGGAAAAUAGCUUUAAUACAAAUUUACAGAUAAAGAACCUUCUCAUCAGGAAGAUGAAAAUUGUAGUUACUAGUUAGUAGUUUGUCCAGUAUACGUACUGCAUAUGCGCUUUCAGCUAAUAUUGUCCAAUAUUUCAGAGAAAACAGAAAACGAUCAGAUUCAAAACAUAGACCUGGAGCUACCAUUGUUUGAGUUAGCUACAAUUGUUAGUGCCACCAAUAACUUUUCAAUCAACAAGAAGCUUGGACAAGGUGGCUUUGGACCCGUUUACAAGGUAAACUUGAAACUUGCUAGUCAAAAAUACUUAUUUUAAUUGGUAACUAAAUUCACAUAUAUGUCUUGCCAGGGCAAGCUAGUGGAUGGACAGGAAAUUGCUGUGAAGAGGCUUUCGAAGAUUUCUGAGCAAGGAUUGAAGGAGUUGAAGAAUGAGGUUAUACUGUUUUCCAAAUUACAGCACAGAAAUCUCGUAAAGCUUCUUGGCUGCUGCAUUCAAGGAGAGGAGAAAUUGUUGAUUUAUGAAUUCAUGCCGAACAAAAGCCUGGACUCUUUCAUUUUUGGUCUGGAUCCCUCUAAACCUUAAAAUAUUCGGCUAGCUUGUGCCUUGAUUAUAGACGUUUCUUAUGUAUUUUCAGAAAAUUUUGCACUAACCUUAGUGUGGUAAUUUGUAGAUCAAGAAAGAUGUAUGAUAUUGGAUUGGUCCAAGCGUUUCCACAUUAUUUGUGGGACUGCUAGGGGCCUUCUGUACCUUCAUCAAGAUUCUAGAUUGAGGAUUAUACAUCGAGACCUCAAAGCAAGUAAUGUGCUACUCGAUCAAGAUAUGAACCCAAAAAUUUCAGAUUUUGGUUUGGCUAGAGCUUUUGGUGGAGACGAGACAGAAGGAAACACAAACAGAGUGGUUGGAACAUAGUAAGUACUUUUUGUCAUGUGAUCUUUACAAUUCACUUGCCUUGAUUAAUGAAAAUUAAUUUAUAAUUUUGAUCCUCUGAAGUGGUUAUAUGGCACCGGAAUACGCUAGUGAUGGGCAAUUCUCAGUAAAAUCUGAUGUCUUCAGCUUUGGAAUUUUAUUGCUGGAGAUAGUAAGUGGAAAGAAAAAUAGAGGAUUUUAUCAUUCCGACAACAACCUUAACCUUAUAGGACAUGUAAGUAAAAUGCAUACGAUAUUUUCUUACAUAGUUUGGACUAAUAUAUUAUAGAUGAUAAAAGAGUUUUGAUAUGUUGUAGGCAUGGAAGUUGUGGAACGAAGGCAUGCCUUCACAAUUAAUCGAUUCGUGUUUUCAAGACUCAUUCAAUCUUGCUGAAGUGAUACGAUGCAUCCACAUCGGUUUGUUAUGCGUGCAACAGCAUCCAGAGGACAGGCCAAGCAUGCCCUCAGUGAUUUUGAUGUUGGGCAGCGAGACUGUGUUGCCUCAGCCAAAGCAACCCGGUUACUUGGCGGACAGGAAAUCUACCAGACGAGAUUAUUCAUCGAUCAUGCCUGAAUCAUGUUCAACUAAUACAAUUACGGUCUCUGGGUUGGAGGGUCGGUAGAGAAUCUAUUUGUGGUAUCAUGCCUCAGUCUACAUUAUCAAGUGUAAAAGCAGUAAUAUGUCAACCAAAUGGAAAGUUAAGAUAAAUGAUUGGAUAAAAAAUGAUGAGGAUCAUCCAAUGAAUGCAUGUUGUGGAUCUAAAAGUUCACAGGAUAGGCCAAUUUUGCAGCUGACUACUUAGCUAAAAAUGCGGAUUUCAUGUUUAUCAAGAACCUCCUGUAGGUCUUGAUCCUUGGCUUUGUUAUGAUAUGUAUGGGACAAUGAUUCCUGUGUCGUAACUUGACUAAGCCUUUUUUUAGUUAAAAAAAAAAAAAAUAGAAUGUAGACUAAUGUUCAUAUAGAAAUUGUAAAUUAGAGGUACUAUGAGCAGUGUUGAGAAUGUGAUUAUAGCUCAAGAAAUUAUUCGUUCGAUGAGGAAGAAGACAGGCAAGAUAGGGCAUAUGGUGAUUGAGGUGGAUUUGGAAAAAGCUUACGACAGGCUCCGCUGGGACUUCAUCCAUGAAACUCUUUCGAAGGUGGGCUUACCUGCACAAUUUAUUCGUCUUAUAAUGGAUUGCAUCACCUCCCCCACAAUGCAAUUAUUAUGGAAUGGAGAGUUAACCGACUCUUUCACUCCUUCGAGAGGGAUUCGUCAAGGGGACCCCUUAUCACCCUAUAUUUUUGUGUUAUGUGUAGAACGCCUGAGUCAUGGGAUUAAUAGUGAAGUCAAAAAAGGGCGUUGGUGGCCUGUUCGUUUGAAUGGAAAUGGAGUCCUCUUCACUCAUUUGUUCUUUACGGAUGAUCUCAUACUACUUUCACCAAGCCCAAGUUAUUUAUGAGGUGCUUGAUUUUUUCUGUCUCGCAUCUGGUGAAAAAGUCAGCAAAGAAAAAACCAAUAUUUAUUUCUCUUAAAAUGUUAGAGUUGAUGAUAGGCGUGAGAUUGUUUCUGAGCUUGGUUUUUAUGUGACUGAUAACCUAGGCAAUUAUGUUGGUGUUCCCCUUUUACAUAAUAGAGUUAACAAACACACCUAAAAGGGUGUCCUUGAUAAAGUCCAACAGCGCCUCACUGGAUGGAAUACCCUUCAUCUUUUUUUGGUUGGCAGAGUCACACUUGUGCAGUCAGUUAUUCAAUCCAUUCUGAUUUACACAAUGCAGACUUCAAGCUCCAUACUUUAUGACCAAAUCGAUCAGUGUUGUCGUCAUUUUAUUUGGAGCGGAAAUGCUGAGAUGAAGAAGAUGAGUAUGGUUAAAUGGGCCACUGUGUGCAAGCCUAGGACUUGGGGAGGCUUGGGUCUUAAAAGAAUUGAUGAUAUGAACAAGGCUUUGCUCAUUAAAAUCGGUUGGAGCCUAAUCACCUCAUCAGACAGCAUGUGGGUCAAGGUUUUACGGUCGAAAUAUGGCAUUGAAGAUCAGGUAGUGCCACAAUCUUUGAAUACCAAGUUUGGUUCCUAUAUAUGGAAAGCUAUUGGAAUUAUUUGGAAUAAAGUUUUUCAGGGGAUAAGAUAGAACCUUGGGGACGGUAGAAAAGUUAACUUUUGGUGGGACUGCGGGGCUCUUGAGGACAAGCCUUCGAUUUUUUAUGUUCAGCAACCCCUUUCGGUGGAGUUAAUCAAUAGCACGGUUUCAGAGUGUGUUAAUGGCGAUGGUUCUUGGAACUGGGGACUUUUUGCUAAUUUGCUCCCAAAUAAUGUGAUCCUUCGUAUUGCAGCUAUUAAACCCCCUCUAAAUAGUGGUGGCAGGGAUGAGAUUAGAUGGGCACAUUCUAAAACAGGGCUUUUCAUAGUCAAAUCAGCUUAUCUUUCUUUAAUUCAACAAUAAUCCGCUCUUGAUGAUCCUGGUUGGAAGAUUAUUUGGAAGUGGCAAGGUCAACAAAGAAUUAAAAUGUUUUUGUGGCUUGCUAUCCAAAAUAAGCUAAAGACUAAAGCAGAACUUGCUAGAUGCCACAUUCCAAUAAAUUCAAAUUGUGAUAUACGUGGUUACCACCUGGAGGAUACCCUUCAUGUGUUAAAGGGACUAUUAGAUGGCAACUAGAAUUUGGAGAUCUUUAUUACCCAAUGAGAACACGAUCGGUUUCUUUUCUCUUAAUCUUCAAGAUUGGAUUCUCUGCAACCUUAGAAAUACUUGGAAUUUUAAUGUUAAUAAUGACUGGCCAUGUACUUUUGGUGUGAUGAUUUGGCAAUUAUGGAAUUGGAGAAAUAAGGUGAUUUUCUCUAAUUCUACAAGUUGCUGUCGAAGUAUUAUCCAUGAUGUCUCUAUUCGCGUUGCGGAAAUUCAGCGUGUUUACUUGGCAAUCAAACCAGCUGAUGUUGCUCAAAUUGAAAAGCGGAUUAGCUGGAGUCCCCCUGCAUCACCUGCGUUCAAACUCAAUAUGGAUGGAUCUUGCAAGAGCUCUGAAAUGGCGGGAGCUUGGACUUGAUCAGAGACGCUCAGGGUCGGUGGUGUGGUGGUUUCCGUAUGAAUAUAGGGAUGUGUUCUAUCACUCUUGCUGAACUUUGGGGCUUAUAUCAAGGCUUACUUCUCGCUUGGAGAAAUGGGAUUAGAAAUCUAGAAGUGGAAGUUGAUAGCUUAUGUGUAACCCAGCUUGUCUGGAAUAAAAGGGUCGCUCCUAAUGAUUCUAUUCCAAUUCUGCAUGCCAUUAAAGAAAUACUGACUCGUGAUUGGAAUGUUAGUCUCCACUGUGUAUAGAGAGGCGAAUCACUCUACUGACUUCCUUGCAAAUUUGGCUACCUCUCUCCCCUUAGGUCUUUAUGUGCAGGAUUCACCCCCUGUUGGUUUAAAUUACUGGUUGCUUCAUGACAUGUACGGGUUCUCUUACACUCGCUCUGUUCUUCCUUAGCCCUUGCUAAGUGCUCCUCCUGUACUAAAAAGAAAUAAUUACUAUAUAUAAUGAGGUUAACUUGUUUAUAUAACAUAAGACAACAAUUUGUUUCUCUUCAAGUAGACAGUUUUUAAUAUGAGAGAAACGGUGGGUCUAUUGAGAGAUUGUGUGUUAUUGGGGUUUUGGUAUGAGGAAAAUAUCAGAAUGAUUGCAAUAAUUUUUCACAUAGUAGAUUUUUCUCUUGUCAUCCUUGGCGGCCAAGUUUUUUCUCCAACAUAAAAUUUUUCACGUAAAUUCUUGUGUUGUGUGAUUAGUUUUAUUUUUGAUCUAUUUUUUAUUUAUUAUUUGUUUGAUAUUUUUUCUUAUAAGAUCUUGAGUGGGAUUAAAAUUUCAUAAUAAGUGAUAUAAAAAAAAAGUUGUUCUACAAAGUAAUAAUGUCUGCAUAUAAAAUUUCCUAAUAGAUUAUAUCUACUCCUGACUUGUGUUUAGUAAUAGGACAGAAUUAGAUUACAUUAAUAUUGUCUUAGGUUUGGGGAUACAUAGGACUGGACAAGAUUUAUAUAAUAUUUAAAAUUUACUAAAAUAAAAGUAAAUAAAAAUUUAAUAAAUACUUAGAUAUUAUUGUAAAUUUCAUUACAAAGUUUAUAAAUAUUAUUAGAGUGUAUAUUUUCUUAUUUUCUUCCUUUAAUUUAACAAAUUUGGAUAUCUCUUAUAGAAAAAUUACUAAUUAAUUUUUGUCUUCAUUCAAGAUUGCCCCAUAGAUCGAACCAGCGUCAGUUAACAGACGCUAUGGAAGCAGCUUUAUUUGGAGGAUAUGCUGUACUUAUGAUUUAGCUCACGUCAUUGACAAAGAAUUUAGUGGUCCAAGUUUUUGCAGUAGAGUAACUAAAUAGCAAUGAUGACCCAGUCAAGUCAAUGUAUAAAUAUUGAAAUGACUAUUAAGGCCUGAGAACCGACCUCAAUUACCUCAAAGUUUUCAAAAAGAAAUUGGACCACCAAAAAAUUUCCCACUAAUAACUACCGAUUGCAACUUGUAGAUCGCAAUUUAUAGACAGAUUUAUAUUAAAAAAAAAAAGUGUUCCAAGUCCUCUCUGAGGUUCUCACUCGGUUCUACAUGUAACGUAAGAUAGAAAGAUUCCAAUCAAAAUUUUGAUUCUUGUUCAAACGUAACUACGAUAUCCACGAAGUCUGUGUUGCCACAAGAACCACUUUAAUAUAUAUCUACUGAUGCAUCGAUGCAUCUAAUUGCUGUCGUGGUCAAAUGAAAGAUCGGGUAAUAUUGCCUACAAGAUUUUAUUAUCAUAAUCUUCUUCAUAUGUUCAUAGCGAUCUUGAAGUUUCAGGUGCAAGUCAUUGUUUUUCAAGGUCCCAUCACUUUACAACAUUAUUUAACUACUUCGAAAGGGAAUUUGAGCCUAUGCAGGCGGAACAAGCCAAAUUCGGCUACAGUCACUGACCUGAAGGUCAAUAUAACUUCCAAUCUAAAUAAGCAUGGACCUCACUCCAAGAUAGAUCAUUAAUUAGGGUGUUUAUAUGUAUUUAACUUGUGAGCGAGAUCUAAAUCUAAAUAGUAGAAACCAAUGGAUGCACUUUCGCUCUUGUUAAUCUGUUGCAAGUUACUGCUUAUCUUUUCUGAAUUCUCAUUUGCAUCAGAUGUCCUUACUUCGUCUCAGUCUCUUAGUGAUGGAAACACCUUAAUAUCAAAAGGUGGAAGCUUUGAGCUUGGUUUCUUCAGUCCCGGUAGUUCCAAGAAUCGUUAUGUGGGAAUUUUGUACAAAAGUAUACCAGUUAAAACAGUUGUUUGGGUUGCAAACCGCCUCAAACCCAUCAAGGACUCUUCUG